GUAAAUAUAGUUUAACAAAAAUAUUAGAUUGUGAAUCUAAUGACAGAAGCUAAUACCUUCUUAUUUACC
RNAcentral lists this transfer RNA (69 nucleotides) under Blarina brevicauda (short-tailed shrew). RNAcentral's name for it is "tRNA-His". It matches the Rfam family "tRNA". From Rfam's summary of the family: Transfer RNA (tRNA) molecules are approximately 80 nucleotides in length. The record is from RNAcentral. Lineage: Eukaryota; Metazoa; Chordata; Mammalia; Eulipotyphla; Soricidae.